UGUGAGUGAAGAAGGCCUUCGGGUUGUAAAGCUCUGUCAAGUGGGAAAAAAUGCUUUUAGUGAAUAGCUAAGGGAGUUGAUGGUACCACUAGAGGAAGCACCGGCUAACUCCGUGCCAGCAGCCGCGGUAAUACGGAGGGUGCGAGCGUUGUUCGGAAUUACUGGGCGUAAAGGGCGUGUAGGCGGAUAGGCAAGUCAGAUGUGAAAGCCCCGGGCUUAACCUGGGAAGUGCAUUUGAAACUGCCUGUCUUGAGUAUGGGAGGGGAGAGUGGAAUUCCCAGUGUAGAGGUGAAAUUCGUAGAUAUUGGGAGGAACAUCUGUGGCGAAGGCGACUCUCUGGACCAAUACUGACGCUGAGACGCGAAAGCGUGGGGAGCAAACAGGAUUAGAUACCCUGGUAGUCCACGCGGUAAACGAUGAGAACUAGGUGUAGCGGGUAUUGACCCCUGCUGUGCCGCAGUUAACGCAUUAA
This 472-nucleotide ribosomal RNA is filed under the name uncultured delta proteobacterium. RNAcentral describes it as "bacterial SSU rRNA". It matches the Rfam family "Bacterial small subunit ribosomal RNA", at positions 400 to 863 of the family's 1533-position model. The record is from RNAcentral. Lineage: Bacteria; Deltaproteobacteria.